GAUGAACGCUGGCGGCGUGCCUAAUACAUGCAAGUCGAGCGAACGGACGAGAAGCUUGCUUUUCUGAUGUUAGCGGCGGACGGGUGAGUAACACGUGGAUAACCUACCUAUAAGACUGGGAUAACUUCGGGAAACCGGAGCUAAUACCGGAUAAUAUUUUGAACCGCAUGGUUCAAAAGUGAAAGACGGUCUUGCUGUCACUUAUAGAUGGAUCCGCGCUGCAUUAGCUAGUUGGUAAGGUAACGGCUUACCAAGGCAACGAUGCAUAGCCGACCUGAGAGGGUGAUCGGCCACACUGAAACUGAGACACGGUCCAGACUCCUACGGGAGGCAGCAGUAGGGAAUCUUCCGCAAUGGGCGAAAGCCUGACGGAGCAACGCCGCGUGAGUGAUGAAGGUCUUCGGAUCGUAAAACUCUGUUAUUAGGGAAGAACAUAUGUGUAAGUAACUGUGCACAUCUUGACGGUACCUAAUCAGAAAGCCACGGCUAACUACGUG
Molecule: ribosomal RNA, 497 nt
Filed under: uncultured bacterium
Lineage: Bacteria
Description: partial 16S ribosomal RNA
Rfam family: Bacterial small subunit ribosomal RNA
Source: RNAcentral